GAAAUGCGAUAAGUAGUGUGAAUUGCAGAAUUCAGUGAAUCAUCGAAUCUUUGAACGCACAUUGCGCCCCUUGGUAUUCCAUGGGGCAUGCCUGUUCGAGCGUCAUUUGUACCUUCAAGCUCUGCUUGGUGUUGGGUGUUUGUCCUUUCUCUUGCAGAGGGACUCGCCUUAAAGUAAUUGGCAGCCAGUGUUUUGGUUUUGAAGCGCAGCACAAGUCGCGAUUCAAGGCUAUACGCAAGCUUCCACAAGCCUUUUUUCACUUUUGACCUCGGAUCAGGCGGGGCUACCCGCUGAGUUUAA
This 300-nucleotide unclassified non-coding RNA is filed under the name uncultured Pleosporales. Its description in RNAcentral is "sequence contains ITS1". The stretch from base 1 to 105 matches the Rfam family "5.8S ribosomal RNA", at positions 50 to 154 of the family's 154-position model. Lineage: Eukaryota; Fungi; Ascomycota; Dothideomycetes; Pleosporales. The record is from RNAcentral.